This is a long non-coding RNA of Juglans regia (Persian walnut), 702 nucleotides long. RefSeq lists it as uncharacterized. Lineage: Eukaryota; Viridiplantae; Streptophyta; Magnoliopsida; Fagales; Juglandaceae. The transcript is spliced from 3 exons. The record is from RefSeq and is a predicted model, not a curated record.
AGGCCCAAGAGUCUCGCCUUUUCUCUGCAGUUUUUACAGUUUGUGUUUGACACUUUGAAGGUUAGGUCUGAAUAACAGCUGUGGUUUGCCAGUUAACUAACUUUUGAAUCUAUUACAUAGCGACCAGACCAACCCACCCAAACCCAACUCCCCUUCCUCUUCCCUUUCCUAUUUUCUUUGUUCUUUUCCCCGCCAAGGAAAAAUCCCAUGAUUUGAACCUGUUCUUUUUUCUUCACAUCUACUCUCUCUUUCUCGCUUGAGUCAUAGUCAUGACAUUUUUGCCUUUUUUGGUUCGGUCUCUGGCGAGGCUGCUCACAGCACUGGUGUAUCAACCAGCAGCCUCCGUCACUACCUUACUUUACUACAGCGAUCUCCUCCCAAGAAAUCUCGACUUGGAGCGCCUGGUGCGGACUGAAUUCCUCGAUCGAGAAAACUAUUUGUUUCAUUUCCUCAUCAACAUCUUGAGGUGUUUCUGAUUGGGCCUCAACUUUUAUGCUAUCAUAACCAUUGAUGGAGUAGUGAGUUGAUGAUAUACGCGCUGAGAACAGGGCAGAUCAAGCUCAAAUUGUGUGGGUUGAGAAUCUUGAGAUAGUUUUCUUUUUAGCAAUGUACAUUUGAUUAACUAAUCUGUAAACUAUUUAUGAAGGAACCGUCACCGAAUUUACUUUAAUGUAAGUAUUGCUUGAUUUAAAAGGGGAAAAA